RNAcentral lists this ribosomal RNA (491 nucleotides) under uncultured bacterium. RNAcentral describes it as "partial 16S ribosomal RNA". It matches the Rfam family "Bacterial small subunit ribosomal RNA", at positions 29 to 506 of the family's 1533-position model. The record is from RNAcentral.
AGUGAACGCUGGCGGUAGGCCUAACACAUGCAAGUCGAACGGCAGCACAGUAAGAGCUUGCUCUUACGGGUGGCGAGUGACGGACGGGUGAGGAAUACAUCGGAAUCUACUUUUUCGUGGGGGAUAACGUAGGGAAACUUACGCUAAUACCGCAUACGACCUACGGGUGAAAGCAGGGGAUCUUCGGACCUUGCGCGAUUGAAUGAGCCGAUGUCGGAUUAGCUAGUUGGCGGGGUAAAGGCCCACCAAGGCGACGAUCCGUAGCUGGUCUGAGAGGAUGAUCAGCCACACUGGAACUGAGACACGGUCCAGACUCCUACGGGAGGCAGCAGUGGGGAAUAUUGGACAAUGGGCGCAAGCCUGAUCCAGCCAUACCGCGUGGGUGAAGAAGGCCUUCGGGUUGUAAAGCCCUUUUGUUGGGAAAGAAAAGCAGCAGGUUAAUACCCCGCUGUUCUGACGGUACCCAAAGAAUAAGCACCGGCUAACUUCGU